GCAAGCGUUGUUCGGAUUUACUGGGCGUAAAGGGCGCGUAGGCGGCCACUGCAAGUCGGUUGUGAAAUCUCCGGGCUUAACCCGGAAAGGUCAAUCGAUACUGCAGGGCUAGAGUGCGGAAGGGGCAACUGGAAUUCUCGGUGUAGCGGUGAAAUGCGUAGAUAUCGAGAGGAACACCUGCGGCGAAGGCGGGUUGCUGGGCCGACACUGACGCUGACAGCGCGAAAGCUAGGGGAGCGAACGGG
RNAcentral lists this ribosomal RNA (245 nucleotides) under uncultured bacterium. RNAcentral describes it as "partial 16S ribosomal RNA". It matches the Rfam family "Bacterial small subunit ribosomal RNA", at positions 534 to 776 of the family's 1533-position model. The record is from RNAcentral.